CAGCCGCCACGGGAAUACAGAGGGUGCAAGCGUUAAUCGGAAUUACUGGGCGUAAAGCGCGCGUAGGUGGUUUGUUAAGUUGAAUGUGAAAUCCCCGGGCUCAACCUGGGAACUGCAUCCAAAACUGGCAAGCUAGAGUAGGGCAGAGGGUGGUGGAAUUUCCUGUGUAGCGGUGAAAUGCGUAGAUAUAGGAAGGAACACCAGUGGCGAAGGCGACCACCUGGGCUCAUACUGACACUGAGGUGCGAAAGCGUGGGGAGCAAACAGGAUUAGAUACCCCGGUAGUCCCUGUCUCUUAUAA
RNAcentral lists this ribosomal RNA (301 nucleotides) under uncultured bacterium. RNAcentral's name for it is "partial 16S ribosomal RNA". It matches the Rfam family "Bacterial small subunit ribosomal RNA", at positions 509 to 809 of the family's 1533-position model. The record is from RNAcentral.